Molecule: ribosomal RNA, 550 nt
Filed under: uncultured archaeon
Lineage: Archaea
Description: bacterial SSU rRNA
Rfam family: Archaeal small subunit ribosomal RNA
Source: RNAcentral
GGGUGCCCAGGCGCGAAAACUUUACAAUGCUGGCAACAGCGAUAAGGGGACCUCGAGUGCCAGGAUACAAUCUUGGCUGUCGCGAUGCCUAAAAAGCAUUGCAUAGCAAGGGCCGGGCAAGACCGGUGCCAGCCGCCGCGGUAACACCGGCGGCUCGAGUGGUAACCGCUAUUAUUGGGUCUAAAGGGUCUGUAGCCGGCCGGAUAAGUCUUUUGGGAAAUCCAGCUGCUCAACAGUUGGGCUUUCAGAAGAUACUGUUCGGCUCGAGACCGGGAGAGGUGAGAGGUACUUCAGGGGUAGGGGUGAAAUCUUGUAAUCCUUGAAGGACCACCAGUGGCGAAGGCGUCUCACCAGAACGGAUCUGACGGCAAGGGACGAAAGCUAGGGGCACGAACCGGAUUAGAUACCCGGGUAGUCCUAGCCGUAAACGAUACUCGCUAGGUGUCAGCCACGGUGCGACCGUGGUUGGUGCCGUAGGGAAGCCGUGAAGCGAGCCACCUGGGAAGUACGGCCGCAAGGCUGAAACUUAAAGGAAUUGGCGGGGGAGCAC